RNAcentral lists this ribosomal RNA (443 nucleotides) under uncultured bacterium. RNAcentral's name for it is "partial 16S ribosomal RNA". It matches the Rfam family "Bacterial small subunit ribosomal RNA", at positions 338 to 795 of the family's 1533-position model. The record is from RNAcentral.
CCUACGGGAGGCAGCAGUGGGGAAUAUUGGGCAAUGGGCGCAAGCCUUACCCAGCAAUACCGCGUGAGUGAAGAAGGUCUUCGGAUUGUAAAGCUCUUUGAUCAGGGACGAACAGAUGACGGUACCUGAAGAACAAGCCCCGGCUCACUACGUGCCAGCAGCCGCUGUAACACGUAAGGGGCGAGCGUUUUCCCGAAUGUAUGGGCGUAAAGGGUGCGUAGGCGGGACAGUAAGUUAGAAGGGAAAUACCCAGGGCUUAACCCGGGUGCUGCUUCUAAGACUGUUGAGCUUGAGUGCAGGGGAGGUUAAUGGAAUUCCUAGUGUAGCGGUGGAAUGCGUAGAUAUUAGGAGGAACACCAGAGGCGAAGGCGAUUAACUGGACCGUAACUGACGCUGAGGCACGAAAGUGUGGGUAGCAAACAGGAUUAGAUACCCUUGUAGUC